RNAcentral lists this long non-coding RNA (243 nucleotides) under Drosophila melanogaster (fruit fly). RNAcentral describes it as "long non-coding RNA:CR44751 (Dmel_CR44751)". Lineage: Eukaryota; Metazoa; Arthropoda; Insecta; Diptera; Drosophilidae. The record is from RNAcentral.
UCACCGAGACUCAACAGCUUUUUGGUUUGUUCAGAUCGACUUGUCACCAUGGCGCGCACUGCCAGUAAGCGGAUUCUGCCACGGAUUAAUGUCGAUCACUCCGGCAAUCUUGUAAGCCGCCCGCUUUCGGAGGCAAGCAACAAGCAACUGGACAACAUCACCACCCAGAAAUAGUGUUUUUUAAGUGCGAUCCACUCAAAAAAAAAUGAGAAUAGUAUUAUAGUAUUAUAUUUGAAUACUCUU